UACGGAGGGGGCUAGCGUUGUUCGGAAUUACUGGGCGUAAAGAGCUCGUAGGCGGCUUGUCACGUCGGAUGUGAAAGCCCGGGGCUUAACCCCGGGUCUGCAUUCGAUACGGGCUAGCUAGAGUGUGGUAGGGGAGAUCGGAAUUCCUGGUGUAGCGGUGAAAUGCGCAGAUAUCAGGAGGAACACCGGUGGCGAAGGCGGGUCUCUGGGCCAAUACUGACGCUGAGGAGCGAAAGCGUGGGGAGCGAACAGG
Molecule: ribosomal RNA, 253 nt
Filed under: uncultured bacterium
Lineage: Bacteria
Description: partial 16S ribosomal RNA
Rfam family: Bacterial small subunit ribosomal RNA
Source: RNAcentral